GUUGAAAUUCAUAGUUACUUCCUAAGCCAACCUAGGGUUUGUCCUUUCUCACCAUCUCCACCACUGCAACAAUGUUCGGAGCUCAGCCCUCCUCCGCCUUCGGCACUCCAUCAUUCGGCACACCUUCGUCAACCCCAGCAUUCGGCACACCUUCGUCGACCCCAGCAUUCGGCACACCUUCAUCAACCCCAGCAUUCGGCACACCU
This 206-nucleotide unclassified non-coding RNA is filed under the name Hevea brasiliensis (rubber tree). The record is from RNAcentral. Lineage: Eukaryota; Viridiplantae; Streptophyta; Magnoliopsida; Malpighiales; Euphorbiaceae.